AUGUUUCAUGAGGUAGCUGUGGAUGGUACUUCUGCUUACGUACCUGGGACAGCAGAUGAUACAGAGGCAAACGACGACGAUGAUGAUGAGGAUGGCAGCCCAAUGAGUACCAGUACCCGCAAGAGGGGUGCCAGCUCGGUUGAUUUUAGGAGUACAGCAAGUAGUCCUUUAAAGAAAAUCAAAAUGAACAUGGAGAAUGGCAAAACUAAGGGUCCAUUUUUGAGGACUUUGAAGGAGAUCACCACCAGAAUGGACAAGGAAGCUGAGACAUCAAACACUAUAUUGCAGGCAAUUGUCGACCAAGGCAAAGAAAAGGCAAAGAGAAGUGAGGAGCGUAAGGUAGCAGUAGCUACAUGUCAGCAACUUACCAUUGAGUGUGGGGCAGCAGAGGAGUCAAUUGAGUACUUUGUAGCCUGUGACUUAUUCAAGGACAAACACAACAGGUUUGUCUUCCAGAACAUGAAGACCCCUGAAGCUAGGCUCAUAUGGUUGAAGAGAUGGUGCAAAGCAAAGAAGAUGUAUGACGAAGAUGAGUCUUAG
RNAcentral lists this ribosomal RNA (540 nucleotides) under Triticum aestivum (bread wheat). RNAcentral's name for it is "partial small subunit ribosomal RNA". Lineage: Eukaryota; Viridiplantae; Streptophyta; Magnoliopsida; Poales; Poaceae. The record is from RNAcentral.